Non-coding RNA from Sturnus vulgaris (Common starling), 4421 nucleotides. The record is from RefSeq and is a predicted model, not a curated record. NCBI's taxonomy places the organism in Eukaryota, Metazoa, Chordata, Aves, Passeriformes, Sturnidae.
AACCAAAAAACUUGUGAAACCGAGUCAUUGAUCUGUUCAUUAUUAAGUAAUUUCAUCAGGUAAAAAAGGUCCCUGUGUGUGAUUUUGUAACCUGUUUAGUUUUAAGUGUUGUAUCCAGAAGCUGGUUUAACUCAGUAAUUUUAAAAAUUAAAGUAGGGAGGUAUCUGACAUUUUAUUUUGGCUUGUAUUAAAUUGUGAUUUCACUGGUGUGAUUUUCUGGAAAAUAAUAGUUUGAAUGUUUUCCAGUGUUGAUUUUUCUCAGGAAAAUCAUUGUCCUGUCUCUCAGCAAAAUAAGUUUGACUUCUUACUUGACCUGUACUUGAGAUGAACACUGUAUGAGAAGCACUUGUUUUAGUUAGCAGAGGGGAAGGGAAAGAUUUAGGGAUAAUAUUGCUAGAGAGAGUGUCUUACCCCUAAUUGUUUUGCACUGUGGUCAGAUGUGUAUGUAGAGUUCACAUCUGUAUUUUUACUGGUUGGAUGUUUUUGUGGUUUUUUUUCCCACCAUUACCAAGGAGAGUGAGUGUGCAGGAAUAUCUCUUCAGAAGUUCAUGGGGUUAAAUACUGGCUGAUAAGUUAACUGAAUUGUUUCAACACUUUGCUCUUGAACGUUUGUUAAAUAUGAAUUGCACGCUGACAUUACUUAAGAUUUAUUGCUGAGAGUUUGAAGGAAGUGUGCCCACCACUUUAGCGGAUGGCACUGUCUGCACUGGUGGAAUUGGACCUUGAGGUCCUGACUCAGCUUUUGGCAACAGUUUAAUUUCCAGGGAUUGGGGAAACCCCAGUUUACUUUGGCUUGAAGUUACUGUAAGCCAAAUCAAGCCAUUUCACAGUGGUAAGCAGUAUGAAACUGAACCUUGCAGUUGAUAAUUCAAAAGCAUAACCUUAGGCAGCUCUGAAUUUUAUUCUCUGGGCAUCUAUGCGGCAUCAAGUUGAUGUUUUUCAAAACACAAUAUGCUAAAUAAUUCUUAUAAAUAGACUCAUUGAUGGUAAUGGAACUAAAAUAGUCCUUGCACAGAAGGGAUGUGCUGAAUUAAUGACAAGUACAAAUAUCUCACAGCCUCCAGUAAUUUGCAUGGCACCAAGUGGUGAGAGAGACAGGUAGCAUGUGUGGCAUAAGGAUAUUUCCUGGAGUCCUCUAACUGUGCUUCUCUGCUGAUACAUGGGCUGUAUUCUCAGACUCAGUGUUUCAGAAGGGCACAAAGCAGUAUCUGAAGUGUCUGUUGUGCUUAAUGUGCUUAAUAGUUUGUAGACACAUAUAUACAUCUUGUAGACACAUCAAAUCAUGGAUAUUCAUACAUUGUAACUUGAUUACCCUGCAUCCAGGUGUGGCCCAUGGAGCAGCUGCACAUGCAGUGGAAAAGCAGGCGCCUGUGUUGGGACUGAAGCAAUGGGAUUUGGCUGACUCACAUGUACAUGGCAUUGGGCAGUCAUGUUUUGUCCCACUCGGACACUUAAUUAUCACUGGGUGUACGGAGAGAAUGACAUUGUCACUUAAAAUGCACUGAACUUACAAGUAUUAAGGAAAUGCUUGUCCUUAGAGGAAACCUUUCUCAUUCACUUGUGUUCUUUCUUUCCUUCCUACCCUCCUAUAUAUGACUUGACUUUGUUGCUGAGUGUUUAUACCUUGAAAACAGGUUUGAUCAUAACGGCGGAUAGAAGGUCAUGAAUUUGAAAUGUAGUAGUCUGUCCUGAAUUUUUAAAAGCAAUCUAAAUAAACUUGAUGAUUACGAAGCACAGUGAAUAGCUGGUGUGUGACUCAUAGGAGUUUAUAAUUCUAAAUGUGCAUUACUGAUCAGGAAACUUCUAAGCUGGUAUUUUGUUUAAGCUUUUUAGCCUCAUAGAGGCCUCUGCUCUAGGUAGCAUCUUUGCUUUGAAAUGUAGCAAUGUUUAUUCUAAGUCAAGCAAAGUGUCAAAACGUGCAGAUUUACAUACUGAAGACUGACAUCUAGAGCAGGAAAUACAUAGAUUGAUUAGAAAGUCUGUUUUAAGUUACUCAGUAAUGCACCUGUCACUGUUGCAGAAGCACUUUCCCCCCUUUGUUGCAUUGGACCUGAAAUGCUGAUCUGUUGGUGUUGUGAAUACAGAAGCUCAGACCAUUUAGUUGAAAAGUAUGGGUAGGUUUUACUUGCUUUUCCAUGAAUGUACUUUUACAAAAUUUAAUUGACUGGAGCUAUUCUAAAUAAUUACUAAGCAAGUUUCUUCUUUACUGGAUGCCUUAUGCAGUGAAACUUAAUUAUGUGUCUCCUGGCAUUUGAACUUGGUGACGUGUUACUUAAAUUUUCUCAAAGGUCUUUAUCAGUUCUCUUGAUAUCUUGCUGUCUUGGUACGUUAAAAAGCUCGUUGUAUUAAGUUACAAACUACAAUGCUUUUUUUUUUUUUCCCUUGUAACAAGAAUUGUAAUUUGGAGACGUAUGAGGUAGGAACUUUGAUUCCAUUGGCACUGACAGUUACUCAAAGACAAGGUUAGGUGUACUUUGCCAUCCUGUGUGUGCUUAUGCAGCUCUCAUUUCCACUUAGCACUAAAUAGCAAUUUAUUUCCAUUGUGUGAGAUACAGAGGAGUAAAGUACUUAAAUGAAGAUGUUUUGAAGUCUGCAAAAGGACUUGUUUAACAGAUUAGCUUUUAGUCAUGGCUAUGGUGCACUGUAUGCUUUUUCUGCAGACUUUUUUUUCCCCAUAGCACUGAAGUGGUUAAUAUUUAAAAGGUUUGUUUGUUUGUUUUUGAAAUCGUAAAUAAGCUUGAUGGUUUAAGACAAUGCCCUGGAAGCUUCUUCACCUUGACGUUUUUAGUGCAACUGUUAUAGAUUAGCUUUUUAUGUGGAAUGCACAUGUGACUUCUUCAAAGGUGCUUAGAUUGUUUAGAUUUUAGGGCAGAUUUCCUUUUGCUUAUCUGACAUGAGGUGCUGAGCCUCAACUUAGCAAUGAAUGAACUUGAAAAAUGUUGAUACUUGGUUUUCUUGUUAAUGGUUUUCUCUCCCCAUAUUGUUGUAUAAUGUUCAGUAGAAACACCAAUUAAAUUGUAAUACUUUUUUAUGUGUAUGACUGCUUGACGUAAUGAAACUGUACUUUACAGAAGAGAUAGUUAAACCUGACAGGCAUUUUGUAAAUGAAGCAGUUUUAGGGGAGGUACAGCUAGUGUAGUUUUGUGUGUGUUAGACAUCCUGUGUAAACCCUAUUCAUUCACUGGUUUGUUUUUUUGUUUUAUUUUGGAUUUUUUUGGUUUUGUUUGUUUUUGGUUUUUUAAUUGCUAUUUUUGGUUGAAGGGAAAGGCAAAUGAACCAAAUAUCAAGUUGCAAAUGUAUUGAGUUUCUUUCAAGCCUCUUUAAUAUUAAAGUUGAAUAGAGCAUAGUGGUGUAAAGCUCACAGAUGAAAGAAAUUAUUGGACUGCUAAACACAAAGACUAAAAUGAGAGUCCCGCUUCUGAUACCUUGUAGCUCAGAGAGAACAGCUGUGGAAAUAUGGCUGUGGCUUUUGUGCCUUUUUACUCUCCUUGAUAAUGAUGCCCAUAGGCUCCUUUUCGAGAUUGUGCUGGGCAAAGUGGUCCUCUGAUAAAAUGCACACUUGUCUUGCAGUUAGUGUCCAAAAAUAUUUCUGCAUUCUGUGAAGAGUUUGCUUACUAAUGAUGCCUGGAUUUAGACUGCCCCAAUCAACCAGAUUGGACAUGUGUUCAUGUGAAAUCCUUGGGUAGUUGUGCAAUUUGGUGUUCGGAGAUACGAGAGUCAAGCUGUAGGAAAUGUUGAGUUCUAGAGACUUAUGCAAAAUCUGAGGGGAAAUUCCUAGUAGCUCUAGGUGGGUAAAGUUUUCAAGAUCUGUUUUUAAUACUUCUAAGAAAAACCCCAAACCAGCUAGAUCCUGUUGUUUUUUUCUUCAGACUCUUUGAUCAUAUGUAGAUCUGGGAAACUUGAUUUUUGCAGUCUGUGGUGUGUGGCCUGUGAAAAGGAAUGUUUCUGAGCCCUUGAUAAAUUUAAUGCUGUGGCGAUAGGGGUGCUGCUUAGACCUCAUGGCUUUGUUCUUUUGUCUUUCUUGUCUUGAUUGUGCUGUGUACUGAUGUCAGGUUGAUUGGUGGAUCCAGACUGAGAUAUAUCUGAACUGCAAAGGGAGGAGAGGAUUGGUUUAAUGAAGGUCAUUUGAAAACCUCGGCUGUAGAACAAAGCCUAUGGAAGCAGUGAUAGGCAUACCGUUUUUCAUAGUUUAUGUAAAAAAAAAAUCGAAAUGUAAAUUUUACUCAGCUGAGCUGACUUCUAAUUCUGCUGUCUGUUGAAGUGUGAAUUCUUAGCUUAGCCUUUAACUUCACCUGGUGCUGUGUAUAGUAUUAGGUGGAGAUUUAAAACUGGAACAGUUGAGGUUCAUGUCUGUGUGGGAAGGCACAACCCUUUGUGUAUGUGCACAUGGAAGAAUAAUGGAACAGAAUAGAAACUUAAGA